RNAcentral lists this long non-coding RNA (745 nucleotides) under Apteryx owenii (little spotted kiwi). RNAcentral's name for it is "lncRNA (ENSAOWG00000018454.1)". The record is from RNAcentral. Lineage: Eukaryota; Metazoa; Chordata; Aves; Apterygiformes; Apterygidae.
UUUAUGUCAUACUCACUCCACCUAUCAUUACAAAUCAGAGUUGAUUUUUUUUUAAUUGUCAGCUAGCCAGGUCUACUCGAUACCUUACAAUUAAGCUGUUUGUUUCUUCCAGCUCUAUAAACAGUGAAGCUCCUGGACUCAGCUAGACCGUAGCUACUGCUGUUACGCUGCUGUAAAGGCAUGAACUAUAUCAGAGCACAGCUUGCUAUUGCAGCUGCUUUGGCUCCAGAGGGGUGUUUGUGUCAGUAAACUAAUCGCACAUGACUUGGACAAGAGGCAGGCAGGGAGCAGAUAAGGGUCUGUUUUUGCAGAGUCCGUUCUUUGUCCAUGACUAUGUUUUGGUGAAUGAAAUCAUCACAGUGCAGACAGCAGUGUGACUAUACAGGAAAGGAGGCCAUUAGCCCCUUAGUUACAAUCCCCACUAGGUUGUGUGCUCCCAGCUUUGGACAAGUCAUUUAACCUUUGUGUGGCUCCUCUUCUCAAAGCCCUUGACAUUCUGCACAGCCAGCAGAAUGGCACAUUUCUUAAUGGCAACUGGGAAUCAAAAAGGAACUUCAAAGUGAGAAGUAAAAAUAACUGGAAGGCUUUGGUGGCCAAAUUAAGAGAGAUGAAAGUCAACCUCCCAUUGAGAUCAGAAGAGCUGGACUCCCUCUCCAGUGCCUGGAUGACCAGCAUAAGCCAUUCUCAACAGCAACAGUGGGAAGAUGAUUGCAGGAAGGAAUGUGGAGGGAAAGAAAGAAAAUAA